Molecule: ribosomal RNA, 393 nt
Filed under: uncultured prokaryote
Description: partial 16S ribosomal RNA
Source: RNAcentral
CCCUAUGGGGUGCAGCCUUGCCUGAGCCUGCGCGCACCGGAAUGGACAACGGCGCUGACUCCGCCAAAGCACAGCACCAAUGCGGGAGAUGCGCCGCCCGAAUCCCCCUGCCCCACAGACGCAGGGUCCAGGGCGGUGAGCCUGGUCGAUGCCCUGCAUCGGUUCCGGGAGCUACCGAGCUUGCGUGCCAACAAUGCGGAAUAUUUGAGCCGUUGUGCCCGUUGCUUCCUCAAAGGACUGUGCGAGCAGUGCCCGGCCAGGUCCUGGGCGGAGCACGGCACUCUGGAUACUCCCGUCUCCCACCUGUGCGAGAUGGCCCACGCACAGGCACGUUACUUGAGCUGGCUGGGAAAGGACGAGCUGGGAUGGGAGGUGGAGAAUUGGCGGGAGAGC